This is a long non-coding RNA of Mercenaria mercenaria, 5563 nucleotides long. RefSeq lists it as uncharacterized. The transcript is spliced from 2 exons. Lineage: Eukaryota; Metazoa; Mollusca; Bivalvia; Venerida; Veneridae. The record is from RefSeq and is a predicted model, not a curated record.
UGGGUUUUAGUUAUUUCUUUUAUGAAAUUAAUGUUUCGAAAUAUGAUAAUCUUUUUUGAAUAUGUACUAUUUAUACAAACUAUGAAACUUUGUUGCUUUGAUAAUAAUAGUUAAUUGUCUUGAAGCAUAAAAAAAGACAAUAUAGUAAAACCUGUUUUAUCUAACACCCUUGGAACCUGUUUAAUUUGUUGGUCAAAGCAGGCUGCCAGUUAAGGUGUGUUUCAUUUAAAUCUUCUUUUUAUAAGCUUACCUGAACUUUGUUCAAAGUGAACUAUUAGUAUCAGUUGAUGGUCCAGCGUCCAUUGUCUGACGUCCUUCAACAUUUUCUUAAAUUUCAAACUGCCAUAUCUUUAACAAUAGUUGUCUGAUAAAAAAAUUCUUUAAGCAUUAUGAAAGGCUUGUGGAUGCCUUUCAUAUAAAAUUCCCUUAUUGUCAGGCAUUUCUUGUCCUGUAAAGUGGAAUUAUAUGCAUUUUUAUGCCCCCGAAGGGAGGCAUAUAGUUUUUGAACCGUCUGUCGGUCUGUCAGUCUGUCUGUCAGUCUGUCCGCAAUUUUCGUGUCCGGUCCAUAUCUUUGUCAUCGAUGGAUGGAUUUUCAAAUAACUUGGCAUGAAUGUGUACCACAGUAAGACGACGUGUCGCGUGCAAGACCCAGGUCCGUAGCUCAAAGGUCAAGGUCACACUUAGACAUUAAAGGUCAUUUUUCAUGAUAGUGCAUUCGUGUCCGGUCCAUAUCUUUGUCAUCCAUGGAUGGAUUUUCAAAUAACUUGGCAUGAAUGUGUACCACAGUAAGAUGACGUGUCGCGUGCAAGACCCAGGUCCGUAGCUCAAAGGUCAAGUCACACUUAGACAUUAAAGGUCAUAUUUCAUGAUAGUGCAUUGAUGGGCGUGUCCGGUCCAUAUCUUUGUCAUUCAUGCAUGGAUUUUAAAAUUAUUGGGCAUGAAUGUGUACCACAGUAAGACGACGUGUUGCGCGCAAGACCCAGGUCCGUAGGUCAAAAGUCCUAAACUCUAACAUCGGCCAUAACUAUUCAUUCAAAGUGCCAUCGGGGGCAUGUGUCAUCCUAUGGUAAGAAAUAAUAAGUUUCCAAAUAUGACUUUUCUUAUUUUGAGUGGGACAGUCCCUUUAAGAAAAGUCAAACUGCACCCAGGAGUUGCUUCCAUUCAACUUCAGAAAUCCCUAAAUAUAGGUAAGGGAGAUCACUGUGUAGGUGAUUGAAGAAAAUAAUUGUUAUUUUAUUAAUCCGAUUUCUUUAUUUCUAAAGUAUGAACUUCAAAUACUCAUGCGGCAUUGUAGUUAAGUAAAAAUAUGUAAAUGCACAGCAAUCAAAAAUUGCUUUAAUAAAACAUUCACCAGAAACAGAACAUGUGUAGUAAGAUGCGCAUUAUGCCACUUUAAGGCACUGCUAGAGCUAAAAAUAGAAAACCUUUUAAAAGACUUAUUCAUCAUACUUUGUCUGGAACAUUAUUUUAAGAUCCUCUUCUAAAAUUGUUCAAAUUGGGACACAUUGCCUCUUUUAGGGGCUAUUAUAGCUAAAAAUGGAAAUGCCUUUAAGUAAUCUUUUCUCAUAAAUUGCUUGAUGGAUCUUAUCAAACUUAUUAGUCCCCUACUGGUUGAAAACCAGUUUCGGGGACUAUAGGAAUGCACUUUUCCGUCAUUCCGUCCGUCCAUCCGUCUGUCCGUCCGUCUGUCCGUCCGUCUGUCCGUCCAUCCGUCCGUCCGCAAUUUCGUGUCCGGUCCAUAACUCUGUCAUCCAUGAAGGGAUUUUAAUAUUACUUGGCACAAAUGUUCCCCAUGAUGAGACGACGUGUCGUGCACAAAACCUGGACCCCUAGCUUAAAGGUCAAGGUCACAAUUGGAGGUCAAAGGUCAACAGGGCUUUUUUCCUGUCCGGUCCACAACUCUCCCAUCCUUGAAGGGAUUUUAGUUUUACUUGGCACAAAUGUUCCCCAUGAUGAGAUGAUGUGUCAUGCGCAAAUCCCGGACCCCUAGCUCAAAGGUCAAGGUCACAAUUGGAGGUCAAAGGUCAACAGGGCUUUUUUCCUGUCCGGUCCAUAACUCUCCCAUCCAUGAAGAGAUUUUAAUAGUACUUGGCACAAAUGUUCCCCAUCAGGAGACGACGUGUCAUGCGCAAAACCUGGACCCCUAGUUUAAAGGUCAAGGUCACAAUUGGAGGUCAAAGGUCAACAAGGCUUCAUUCCUGUCCGGUCCAUAACUCUCCCAUCUAUGAAGGGAUUUUAAUAUUACUUGGCACAAAUGUACCUCAUAAUAAGAGGAUGUGUCAUGCACAACUUUCAGACCCCUAGCUCAAAGGUCAAGGUCACACUUAGCAGUCAAAUGUUAACAUAGCAUAAACAGGGUCUGUUUCGUGUCCGGUCCAUAACUCUGACAUUCAUUAAGGGAUUUUAAUAUCACUUAGCACAAGUGUUCCCCAUGAUGAGACGAUGUGUCAUGCGCAAAUCCCGGACCCCUAGCUCAAAGGUCAAGGUCACAAUUGGGGGUCAAAGGUCAACAGAGUUUUUUUCCUGUCCCAUCCAUAACUCUGCCAUCCAUGAAGGGAUUUUAAUAUUACUUGGCACAAAUGUUCCCCAUGAUGAGACAACAUGUUGUGCGCAAAGCCCAGACCCUUAGCUCAAAGGUCAAGGUCACAAUUGGAGGUCAAAUGUCAAUAAGGUUUUUUUCCCUGUUCGAUCCAGAACUCUGUCAUCCAUCACGGGAUUACAAUAUUACUUGGCAUAAAUGUUUCCCAUGAUGAGACGACGUGUCAUGCGCAACACCCAGUACCCUAGCUUAAAGGUCAAGGUCACACUUUGAGAUCAAAGGUCAAGAGGAUUUUUUUCCUGUCCGGUCUGUAACUUUGUCAUGCAAAGCAGGAUUUAGAUAUCAGUUGGCACAAAUAUUCCCCUGGAUGAGACAACAUGUCAUGUGCAAGAACCAGGUCCCUAGGUCUAAGGUCAAGGUCAUAUUUAGAGGUCAAAGGUCAAAUUCAUGAAUGACUUUGUAUGGAACAUUUCUUCUUCAUGCAUGGAGGGAUUUGAUGUAACUUGGACCAAAUGUUCACCACCAUGAGGCACCCUUGUUUUUAGAAUUACGUCCCUUUGUUGUUACUAUAAAUAGAUUUUAUUGUAACUUUUUUAUUACUGGCGAUAGAAAAAAAUCGAGACCACUUUUCUGUGGUAUAGCAUGCAUGUUACAUCCAAUUUUUAGGUGUAUUUUGACCUAUCUCUACCCGGUAAAGAGUUUCUUGUGGACUUAUAUUAUAUAGAUUUUUUUUUUUUUUUUUUUUUUUUUUUUUUUAAAGAUUAAUUUCCCUUUGUUGUUACUAUAAAUAACUUACAUGAUAACGUUUUUAUAAUCUGCCAAAAAAAUUCAAUAUUAAAAGAACUGUGGGUUUUUAUAUAUGCACAUUUUAAUCCAAGUGUGUUGUUAUAACAUAUUGUAUAUGUAGUACAAUAUUGUUUAUACAUCAUUGACAGAUAUCAGUUCAUUAUGUUAUACUGCAGUAGAGAAAAUUAGGUGCCUUCCAGUAGGGGACUUUGUAUUGCAUGGCAGUACUUCAUUCACUUGUUUUGUAUGGUCUUUUUAAUGGAUCUUUAUCAUACUUGGUGAGGAGCAUCAUUACAAGGUCCUCUACCAGAUUUGUUCAAAAGGGUGCACUUAGCCUGUUUUAGGGGCCGCUAGUGCUAAAAAUUGUAAUACCUUUAAAUGACUUCUUCUCAUGAACAACUUGUUGGAGCUUCAUUAAACUUGAUUUGUAGCAUCCCUUCCAACGUGGUUCAGGUGGGGGAUGUUUGGCUCUUUUAGUGGUUCAUUAGAGGUAAAAAUAGAAUAAAACCUUAAAAUGACAUCUCAUGAGACACUGGCUGGAUGUUCAUCAAACUUGGUCCUUAUCAUUGUAAGGUCAUCUCCCAAACUUAUUCAAAUGGGGGCUCCUUGCACCUUUUAGGGGCCACAUGAGCUAAAAAUAAAAAAACUUCUGGUGAACUGCUUGAUGAAUCUUCAUCAAACUUACUUUAGCUUCAUUGUAAGGUCCUCCCUACAGCUAAAAAUAGAAGAAAAAAAAAAUUAAUCUUGAGGUUUGUUUUAAUGGUAAUGUAUUUUUGGGCUGUCACAGCAAAAUAUACAUGUGUAGAAAGAAAACCUUUAAUUAACUUUUAUUUUCAUGAACUUCUUAAAGAAUGCUCAUCAAACUUGGUCAAAAGCAAGAUAAGAAAGGUCCUCUUCUGGUGAGUGACUUUAAAAUGUCUAAAUGAAAAACAACGUAGCUGAAUAUAAGGCUUAUGAAGAUAGAAAGAUACAGUUCACUGAAGGGAUUAAAAUUUCUUUUAUACCCAUCAUCAAUUUCUGUAUCAGGGACCUGACUUAAGUUCUGGUAAUUUUUUUUCUUUUCUGGACUCCAAGUCGCAAAGUACAUUAGCUACAGUUUUCAAACUUUAUGUGAUUACUAGGCAUCAUUUGAGGAGGAUCUCUACUAUUUCUGGGACAGAAUGGUUUCUUGAUUGUUAGUCUCGAACUAAGUACCACUUGACAAAGACCCUUAUCAGUUUUGGGGUCAGUGGUUGAAAGGUCAUGGUCACAGAUAGCUGAAUUAAUGUUUGUGGUUUUUAGCUCACCUGUCACAAAGUGACAAGGUGAGCUUUUGUGAUCGCCCGUCGUCCGUCCGUGCGUUCGUCCGUCUGUGCGUGCGUGCGUAAACUUUUGCUUGUGACCACUCUAGAGGUCACAUUUUUCAUGGGAUCUUUAUGAAAAUUGGUCAGAAUGUUCACCUUGAUGAUAUCUAGGUCAAGUUCGAAACUGGGUCACGUGCAGUAAAAAACUAGGUCAGCAGGUCUAAAAAUAGAAAAACAUUGUGACCUCUCUAGAGGCCAUAUAUUUCACAAGAUCUUCAUGAAAAUUGGUCAGAAUGUUCACCUUGAUGAUAUCUAGGUCAAGUUCGAAACUGGGUCACGUGCCAUCAAAAACUAGGUCAGUAGGUCAAAUAAUAGAAAAACCUUGUGACCUCUCUAAAGGCCAUAUUUUUCAUGGGAUCUGUAUGAAAGUUGGUCUGAAUGUUCAUCUUGAUGAUAUCUAGGUCAGUUUGAAACUGGGUCACGUGCGGUCAAAAACUAGGUCAGUAGGUCUAAAAAUAGAAAAACCUUGUGACCUCUCUAGAGGCCAUACUUGUGAAUGGAUCUUCAUAAAAAUUGGUCAGAAUGUUCACCUUGAUGAUAUCUAGGUCAGGUUUGAAAAUGGGUCACAUGUCUUCAAAAAGUAGGUCAGUAGGUCAAAUAAUGAAAAAAACCUUGUGACCUCUCUAGAGGCCAUAUUUUUCAUGAGAUCUGUAUGAAAGUUGGUCUGUAUAUCCAUCUUGAUGAUAUCUAGGUCAAGUUCGAAACUGGGUCACGUGCGGUCCAAAACUAGGUCAGUAGGUCUAAAAAUAGAAAAACCUUGUGACCUCUCUAGAGGCCAUACUUUUGAAUGAAUCUACAUGAAAAUUAGUUAGAAUGUUCACCUUGAUGAUAUCUAGGUCAAGUUCGAAACUGGGUCACGUGCCAUCAAAAACUAGGUCAGUAGGUCAAAUAAUAA